GGUUAAGCGACUAAGCGUACACGGUGGAUGCCCUGGCAGUCAGAGGCGAUGAAGGACGUGCUAAUCUGCGAUAAGCGUCGGUAAGGUGAUAUGAACCGUUAUAACCGGCGAUUUCCGAAUGGGGAAACCCAGUGUGAUUCGUCACACUAUCAUUAACUGAAUCCAUAGGUUAAUGAGGCGAACCGGGGGAACUGAAACAUCUAAGUACCCCGAGGAAAAGAAAUCAACCGAGAUUCCCCCAGUAGCGGCGAGCGAACGGGGAGCAGCCCAGAGCCUGAAUCAGUGUGUGUGUUAGUGGAAGCGUCUGGAAAGGCGUGCGAUACAGGGUGACAGCCCCGUACACAAAAAUGCACAUGCUGUGAGCUCGAUGAGUAGGGCGGGACACGUGGUAUCCUGUCUGAAUAUGGGGGGACCAUCCUCCAAGGCUAAAUACUCCUGACUGACCGAUAGUGAACCAGUACCGUGAGGGAAAGGCGAAAAGAACCCCGGCGAGGGGAGUGAAAAAGAACCUGAAACCGUGUACGUACAAGCAGUGGGAGCACGCUUAGGCGUGUGACUGCGUACCUUUUGUAUAAUGGGUCAGCGACUUAUAUUCUGUAGCAAGGUUAACCGAAUAGGGGAGCCGAAGGGAAACCGAGUCUUAACUGGGCGUUAAGUUGCAGGGUAUAGACCCGAAACCCGGUGAUCUAGCCAUGGGCAGGUUGAAGGUUGGGUAACACUAACUGGAGGACCGAACCGACUAAUGUUGAAAAAUUAGCGGAUGACUUGUGGCUGGGGGUGAAAGGCCAAUCAAACCGGGAGAUAGCUGGUUCUCCCCGAAAGCUAUUUAGGUAGCGCCUCGUGAAUUCAUCUCCGGGGGUAGAGCACUGUUUCGGCAAGGGGGUCAUCCCGACUUACCAACCCGAUGCAAACUGCGAAUACCGGAGAAUGUUAUCACGGGAGACACACGGCGGGUGCUAACGUCCGUCGUGAAGAGGGAAACAACCCAGACCGCCAGCUAAGGUCCCAAAGUCAUGGUUAAGUGGGAAACGAUGUGGGAAGGCCCAGACAGCCAGGAUGUUGGCUUAGAAGCAGCCAUCAUUUAAAGAAAGCGUAAUAGCUCACUGGUCGAGUCGGCCUGCGCGGAAGAUGUAACGGGGCUAAACCAUGCACCGAAGCUGCGGCAGCGACGCUUAUGCGUUGUUGGGUAGGGGAGCGUUCUGUAAGCCUGCGAAGGUGUGCUGUGAGGCAUGCUGGAGGUAUCAGAAGUGCGAAUGCUGACAUAAGUAACGAUAAAGCGGGUGAAAAGCCCGCUCGCCGGAAGACCAAGGGUUCCUGUCCAACGUUAAUCGGGGCAGGGUGAGUCGACCCCUAAGGCGAGGCCGAAAGGCGUAGUCGAUGGGAAACAGGUUAAUAUUCCUGUACUUGGUGUUACUGCGAAGGGGGGACGGAGAAGGCUAUGUUGGCCGGGCGACGGUUGUCCCGGUUUAAGCGUGUAGGCUGGUUUUCCAGGCAAAUCCGGAAAA
Molecule: ribosomal RNA, 1505 nt
Filed under: Escherichia coli
Lineage: Bacteria; Pseudomonadati; Pseudomonadota; Gammaproteobacteria; Enterobacterales; Enterobacteriaceae
Description: partial 23S ribosomal RNA
Rfam family: Bacterial large subunit ribosomal RNA
Source: RNAcentral